Molecule: long non-coding RNA, 201 nt
Filed under: Gossypium raimondii (Peruvian cotton)
Lineage: Eukaryota; Viridiplantae; Streptophyta; Magnoliopsida; Malvales; Malvaceae
Description: long non-coding RNA (GRAI_LNC009424)
Source: RNAcentral
AGAAAGUGUUUUCCGGUAGUAUUAUUGCAUUUUCAGCGGUUAAAUCGCAAUAUAUGUUUAGCAGCUUAGCUGUACUAUUAUGAAUGGCAUACCACCACGACCCAGUGUGAUUGGAUGGAUGGACUCUUAAAGUCCUAAUUGGUGUGAUUGGUUGGACGGAGUUGGUGUAUAGCAGAUAGGGUAGGAUCUGUGUCUGCAUUU